This 118-nucleotide small RNA is filed under the name Halpernia frigidisoli. RNAcentral's name for it is "Flavo-1 RNA". It matches the Rfam family "Flavo-1 RNA". Lineage: Bacteria; Pseudomonadati; Bacteroidota; Flavobacteriia; Flavobacteriales; Weeksellaceae. The record is from Rfam by way of RNAcentral.
ACCUAGCCCGGAUUGCAGCGGCAUCCUUUUUUGUUAUUGCGAUGAGAUAAACCUUUCAACCGAUUUCUCCUCUUUAAUCGCAAUGACGAAAAAGAUAUAGCGGAAAGCCGGACCAUAU